RNAcentral lists this ribosomal RNA (572 nucleotides) under Dendrothele yunnanensis. RNAcentral describes it as "Dendrothele sp. JD-2023a partial small subunit ribosomal RNA". It matches the Rfam family "Bacterial small subunit ribosomal RNA", at positions 381 to 968 of the family's 1533-position model. The record is from RNAcentral. Lineage: Eukaryota; Fungi; Basidiomycota; Agaricomycetes; Agaricales.
CCCAGAGUGACAGCCACUGAAUUCCGGCCAUCUAGGUGUUAUAGGGAUGUUUAGACAUCACCCGGAAUAAUAUAAGUGAAAAUAAUGAUAUUAGCUUAAGAGUAAGUGCUGUCCAAUGCUCGUGCCAGAAGACUCGGUAACGCGAGUAGCGCAAACGUUAGUCGUCUUAUACAGGCGUAAAGGGUGUGUAGGCAGCUUUAAUCCCCUUAUUUUUAUAGCAUUAAAAAAUAAGUCUAAUUAAAGCUAGAAUCAGAUAUGGGAUAAGCAAAAGAAUACUCAGUUUAGGGCCGAUAUCCUUAAAAAUUGAGCGGAAUACUAAUAGGUGAAAGCUUUUUAUCUACUAAUGAUUGACGCUGAGAAACGAAGGUGGGAAAAGAAAAUAGGAUUUGAUACCCAGAUAUCUCCCACUGUCAACGAUGAAUGGUGGCUGUUAGUCUUUAAGAUUGGUGGCGAUGUUAACGCGAUAACCAUUCCGCCUUGCGAGUACGGUUGCAAAACUGAAAUCAAAAAAAUUAGUCGGUCUCGGAGCAAACGAAGUGAAGCAUGUUAUUUAUGAAAAAAAACCCCCAAAA